Molecule: unclassified non-coding RNA, 413 nt
Filed under: soil metagenome
Description: partial contains 5.8S ribosomal RNA, internal transcribed spacer 2, and large subunit ribosomal RNA
Rfam family: 5.8S ribosomal RNA (bases 1-120)
Source: RNAcentral
GAUGAAGAACGUAGCGAAAUGCGAUAAGUAAUGUGAAUUGCAGAAUUCGGUGAAUCAUCGAAUCUUUGAACGCACCUUGCGCUCUUUGGUAUUCCGAAGAGCAUGCCUGUUUGAGUGUCAUGAAAAUAUCAACCUUGACUUGGGUUUUGUGCUCUAGUCUCGGCUUGGAAUUGGGUGCUUGCCGCUUUUACGAGCGGCUCACCUUAAAUGUAUUAGCUGGAUCUGUCUUUGAGACUUGGUUUGACUUGGCGUAAUAAGUAUUUCGCUAAGGACAUUCUUCGGAGUGGCCUCGUUUCUAGGACGCUUGUCCGCUUUCCAAUACAAGUUCCACCUCGUGGACAUGACUUUUUAUUAUCUGGCCUCAAAUCAGGUAGGACUACCCGCUGAACUUAAGCAUAUCAAUAAGCGGAGGA